RNAcentral lists this ribosomal RNA (497 nucleotides) under uncultured bacterium. Its description in RNAcentral is "partial 16S ribosomal RNA". It matches the Rfam family "Bacterial small subunit ribosomal RNA", at positions 28 to 507 of the family's 1533-position model. The record is from RNAcentral.
GAUGAACGCUGGCGGCGUGCCUAAUACAUGCAAGUCGAGCGAACAGACGAGGAGCUUGCUCCUCUGACGUUAGCGGCGGACGGGUGAGUAACACGUGGAUAACCUACCUAUAAGACUGGGAUAACUUCGGGAAACCGGAGCUAAUACCGGAUAAUAUAUUGAACCGCAUGGUUCAAUAGUGAAAGACGGUUUUGCUGUCACUUAUAGAUGGAUCCGCGCCGCAUUAGCUAGUUGGUAAGGUAACGGCUUACCAAGGCAACGAUGCGUAGCCGACCUGAGAGGGUGAUCGGCCACACUGGAACUGAGACACGGUCCAGACUCCUACGGGAGGCAGCAGUAGGGAAUCUUCCGCAAUGGGCGAAAGCCUGACGGAGCAACGCCGCGUGAGUGAUGAAGGUCUUCGGAUCGUAAAACUCUGUUAGUAGGGAAGAACAAAUGUGUAAGAAACUAUGCACGUCUUGACGGUACCAAAACAGAAAGCCACGGCUAACUACGUG